RNAcentral lists this long non-coding RNA (340 nucleotides) under Trifolium pratense (red clover). RNAcentral describes it as "long non-coding RNA (TPRA_LNC000079)". The record is from RNAcentral. Lineage: Eukaryota; Viridiplantae; Streptophyta; Magnoliopsida; Fabales; Fabaceae.
ACCAAAUGAAAUGAGAGCAAUUUUGAUCUUUAACCAAUAUACAAUUUUGUUAUAUUGUAUAGAUAUAUAUAGAUCGAUUUUUGUCGAUUUUUUUUCAGAAUAUAUUAGUUGGCCCAUUUGAUAGUGAAGACCGAAGAGAAUGUUAAAAACUUACAUUUGCAAGGUUGCGAUACCCAUUGAUGUUAUUUUUAUUUUUUUGGUUUUAUUUUUAUUCACAAAAUAUCAUAAAAAUAUGUCAAUUUAUUUAAAUUUAUUAUUGUUAAUAACUUUAUUGAAAAUCCAAAAACUAUGUUAAAAAUCUAGUUUCUUUUUUUAAGAUAUCGUUGUUGGGUACUUGGGA